This 302-nucleotide unclassified non-coding RNA is filed under the name uncultured Sordariomycetes. Its description in RNAcentral is "sequence contains ITS1". The stretch from base 1 to 105 matches the Rfam family "5.8S ribosomal RNA", at positions 50 to 154 of the family's 154-position model. Lineage: Eukaryota; Fungi; Ascomycota; Sordariomycetes. The record is from RNAcentral.
GAAAUGCGAUAAGCAAUGUGAAUUGCAGAAUUCAGUGAAUCAUCGAAUCUUUGAACUCACAUUGCGCCCGCCAGCACUCUGGCGGGCAUGCCUGUUCGAGCGUCAUUUCAACCAUCAAGCCCCCGGGCUUGCGUUGGGGACCUGCGGCUGCCCGCAGGCCCUGAAAACCAGUGGCGGGCUCCCUGUCACCCCGGUCGUAGUCGUAUCAUCUCGUCCACGGCUUGGCUGCGUGCUCCGGCAGUUAAACCUUCUCACAUCCAAAGGUUGACCUCGGAUCUGGUAGGAAUACCCGCUGAACUUAA